AGAGUUUGAUCCUGGCUCAGAUUGAACGCUGGCGGCAGGCUUAACACAUGCAAGUCGAGCGGGGAAAAGUAGCUUGCUACUUAACUUAGCGGCGGACGGGUGAGUAAUACUUAGGAAUCUGCCUAUUAGUGGGGGACAACAUUUCGAAAGGAAUGCUAAUACCGCAUACGUCCUACGGGAGAAAGCAGGGGAUCACUUGUGACCUUGCGCUAAUAGAUGAGCCUAAGUCGGAUUAGCUAGUUGGUGGGGUAAAGGCCUACCAAGGCGACGAUCUGUAGCGGGUCUGAGAGGAUGAUCCGCCACACUGGGACUGAGACACGGCCCAGACUCCUACGGGAGGCAGCAGUGGGGAAUAUUGGACAAUGGGGGGAACCCUGAUCCAGCCAUGCCGCGUGUGUGAAGAAGGCCUUUUGGUUGUAAAGCACUUUAAGCGAGGAGGAGGCUACUCUAGUUAAUACCUAGGGAUAGUGGACGUUACUCGCAGAAUAAGCACCGGCUAACUCUGUGCCAGCAGCCGCGGUAAUACAGAGGGUGCGAGCGUUAAUCGGAUUUACUGGGCGUAAAGCGUGCGUAGGUGGCCAAUUAAGUCAAAUGUGAAAUCCCCGAGCUUAACUUGGGAAUUGCAUUCGAUACUGGUUGGCUAGAGUAUGGGAGAGGGUGGUAGAAUUCCAGGUGUAGCGGUGAAAUGCGUAGAGAUCUGGAGGAAUACCGAUGGCGAAGGCAGCCAUCUGGCCUAAUAC
This 740-nucleotide ribosomal RNA is filed under the name uncultured Acinetobacter sp. Its description in RNAcentral is "bacterial SSU rRNA". It matches the Rfam family "Bacterial small subunit ribosomal RNA", at positions 8 to 740 of the family's 1533-position model. The record is from RNAcentral. Lineage: Bacteria; Pseudomonadati; Pseudomonadota; Gammaproteobacteria; Moraxellales; Moraxellaceae.